RNAcentral lists this transfer RNA (76 nucleotides) under Pectobacterium phage Arno162. Its description in RNAcentral is "tRNA-Gln". It matches the Rfam family "tRNA". Rfam says of the family: Transfer RNA (tRNA) molecules are approximately 80 nucleotides in length. Their secondary structure includes four short double-helical elements and three loops (D, anti-codon, and T loops). Lineage: Duplodnaviria; Heunggongvirae; Uroviricota; Caudoviricetes; Andersonviridae. The record is from RNAcentral. RNAcentral also lists the same sequence under 1 other name.
UGGGGAUUAGUUUAUAAGGUAAAACCUUGGCCUUUGAAGCUGAAGAAGCAGAGUUCAAUUCUCUCAUCCCCUGCCA